UUCUCAUUGCCAUUCCCAUUGCCAUUCCCAUUGCCAUUGCCAUUCCCAUUGUCACUGCCAUUGUCACUGCCAUUGUCACUGCCAUUGUCAUUGCCAUAAUCACUGCCAUUCCUAUUCCCAUUCCCAUUGCCAUUGCCAUUCCAUUGCCAUUCCCAUUGCCAUUCCAUUGCCAUUCCCAUUCCCAUUGUCAUUCCCAUUCCCAUUCCCAUUGCCAUUCCAUUGCCAUUCCCAUUCCCAUUGUCAUUCCCAUUCCCAUUGCCAUUCCCAUUGCCAUUGCCAUUCCCAUUGCCACAUCCAUUGCCAUUGCCAUUCCCAUUGCCAUUUCCAUUGCCAUUCCAUUGUCACUGCCAUUGCCAUUCUCAUUUCCAUUGCCAUUCCAUUGCCAUUCCCAUUGCCAUUCCCAUUGCCACAUCCAUUCCCAUUGCCACAUCCAUUGCCAUUCCCAUUGCCAUUCCCAUUGCCACAUCCAUUGCCAUUGCCAUUCCAUUUCCAUUCCAUUGCCAUUCUCAUUUCCAUUCCAUUGCCAUUCCCAUUGCCAUUGCCAUUCCAUUGCCAUUCCCAUUGCCAUUCCCAUUGCCAUUCCCAUUGCCAUUCCCAUUCCCAUUGCCAUUGCCAUUGCCAUUCCCAUUGCCAUUCCAUUGCCAUUCCCAUUGCCAUUCCAUUGCCCUACUCAUUCCCACUGCCAUUCCCAUUGCCAUUCCCAUUGCCAUUCCCAUUGCCAUUCCCAUUGCCAUUCCAUUCCCAUUGCCAUUCCCAUUCCCAUUCUCAUUUCCAUUGCCAUUGCCAUUCCCAUUGCCAUUGCCAUUGCCAUUCCCAUUCCCAUUGCCAUUCCCAUUCCCAUUCUCAUUUCCAUUGCCAUUGCCAUUCCCAUUACCACAUCCAUUGCCAUUCCAUUUCCAUUCUCAUUACCAUUGCCAUUCCCAUUUCCAUUCCCACACAGCCCCAUGAUUUCCCACCCCAUGCCCUCACCCCACCCCCAUGAAAUCGGAUGGAUUUGCUGCAGCCCAGCUGUGCUUUGAUG
This 1021-nucleotide long non-coding RNA is filed under the name Zonotrichia albicollis (white-throated sparrow). RNAcentral describes it as "lncRNA (ENSZALG00000001736.1)". Lineage: Eukaryota; Metazoa; Chordata; Aves; Passeriformes; Passerellidae. The record is from RNAcentral.